This 410-nucleotide ribosomal RNA is filed under the name uncultured bacterium. RNAcentral's name for it is "bacterial SSU rRNA". It matches the Rfam family "Bacterial small subunit ribosomal RNA", at positions 362 to 770 of the family's 1533-position model. The record is from RNAcentral.
UAUUGGUCAAUGGGCGGGAGCCUGAACCAGCCAAGCCGCGUGAGGGAAGAAGGUACAGCGUAUCGUAAACCUCUUUUGUCAGGGAACAAAGGCGGGGACUAGUCCCCGGCAGAGGGUACCUGAAGAAAAAGCAUCGGCCAACUCCGUGCCAGCAGCCGCGGUAAUACGGAGGAUGCGAGCGUUAUCCGGAUUUAUUGGGUUUAAAGGGUGCGCAGGCGGCCUGUUAAGUCAGCGGUAAAAGCCCGGGGCUCAACCCCGGCGAGCCGUUGAAACUGACGGUCUUGAGUGGGCGAGAAGUAUGCGGAAUGCGUGGUGUAGCGGUGAAAUGCAUAGAUAUCACGCAGAACUCCGAUUGCGAAGGCAGUAUACCGGCGCCCAACUGACGCUGAAGCACGAAAGCGUGGGUAUCG